This 254-nucleotide non-coding RNA is filed under the name Bacillus sp. (in: firmicutes). RNAcentral's name for it is "Bacillus sp. T-box sequence". It matches the Rfam family "T-box leader". Rfam says of the family: Uncharged tRNA acts as the effector for transcription antitermination of genes in the T-box leader family. T-boxes are found upstream of many aminoacyl-tRNA synthetase genes and some amino acid biosynthetic genes usually in Gram-positive bacteria. The anticodon of a specific tRNA base pairs to a specifier sequence within the T-box motif, and the NCCA acceptor tail of the tRNA base pairs to a conserved bulge in the T-box antiterminator hairpin. The record is from RNAcentral. Lineage: Bacteria; Bacillati; Bacillota; Bacilli; Caryophanales; Bacillaceae.
GAUGAAUCGAUGACGAGAACAGUAGGAUUUGUUUUUGUUUUACAGAGAGUCGGCAAAAGGUGGAAGCCGAUAACAAAGCAUUUCUGAAUAUCAUCUCCGAGAUGCGUAGCUGAAUUUAAAGUAAGCUAGGCCGGAAAGUCCACCGUUACAUAGGAACUCGUAUCAUAAAAUGGUACGUUGCAUUGAGAGCCGCAGCCGUUUAAGAUUUUUCGCUGCGGAAGUAGGGUGGUAACGCGAGCUAACUCGUCCCUAUA